RNAcentral lists this ribosomal RNA (498 nucleotides) under uncultured bacterium. RNAcentral describes it as "partial 16S ribosomal RNA". It matches the Rfam family "Bacterial small subunit ribosomal RNA", at positions 28 to 507 of the family's 1533-position model. The record is from RNAcentral.
GACGAACGCUGGCGGCGUGCCUAAUACAUGCAAGUCGAACGAGAGCGCCCGGUGCUUGCCCUGGUCAAUCUAGUGGCGAACGGGUGAGUAACACGUGGGUAACCUGCCCAUCAGAGGGGGAUAACAUCCGGAAACGGAUGCUAAAACCGCGUAGGUCUUCGAGCCGCAUGGCUUGAAGAGGAAAAGAGGCGCACGCUUCUGCUGAUGGAUGGACCCGCGGUGCAUUAGCUAGUUGGUGAGGUAACGGCUCACCAAGGCCGUGAUGCAUAGCCGACCUGAGAGGGUGAUCGGCCACAUUGGGACUGAGACACGGCCCAAACUCCUACGGGAGGCAGCAGUAGGGAAUCUUCCGCAAUGGACGCAAGUCUGACGGAGCAACGCCGCGUGAGUGAAGAAGGUUUUCGGAUCGUAAAACUCUGUUGUUAGAGAAGAACAAGUGCUAGAGUAACUGUUAGCGCCUUGACGGUAGCUAACCAGAAAGCCACGGCUAACUACGUG